This 70-nucleotide transfer RNA is filed under the name Bos taurus (domestic cattle). It matches the Rfam family "tRNA". Rfam says of the family: Transfer RNA (tRNA) molecules are approximately 80 nucleotides in length. Their secondary structure includes four short double-helical elements and three loops (D, anti-codon, and T loops). RNAcentral also lists the same sequence under 2 other names. The record is from Rfam by way of RNAcentral. Lineage: Eukaryota; Metazoa; Chordata; Mammalia; Artiodactyla; Bovidae.
UCCUGGUGGCUCAGUGGUAAAGAAUCUGUCUGCAACACAGGAGACUCAGGUUUGAUCCCUGGGCCUGGAA